UUGAUAACACUGCAUAUAUCAUGCCUAUAAUUCCAGUUAAUUCAUACAUAACAGAUCCAAAUGAAUAUAUCACUAAUAAUAAUAAUACAUGCAGAGUUCUAGAACAGAAUAAAAGGACAAAAUACAAUUAAAUGCAGAUAAUAGACCUACGAAGAACAGAGCAGGUUAAACUCAAUAAAGGACCUCCUGUAUCCUGAAAAAAUAGGUGAA
RNAcentral lists this unclassified non-coding RNA (210 nucleotides) under Hevea brasiliensis (rubber tree). The record is from RNAcentral. Lineage: Eukaryota; Viridiplantae; Streptophyta; Magnoliopsida; Malpighiales; Euphorbiaceae.